AUUGAACGCUGGCGGCAUGCUUUACACAUGCAAGUCGAACGGUAACAGGGUGCUUGCACCGCUGACGAGUGGCGAACGGGUGAGUAAUGCGUCGGAACGCACCGAGUAAUGGGGGAUAACGCAGCGAAAGCUGUGCUAAUACCGCAUACGCUCUGAGGAGGAAAGCGGGGGACCUUCGGGCCUCGCGUUAUUCGAGCGGCCGACGUCUGAUUAGCUAGUAGGUGAGGUAAGAGCUCACCUAGGCGACGAUCAGUAGCGGGUCUGAGAGGAUGAUCCGCCACACUGGGACUGAGACACGGCCCAGACUCCUACGGGAGGCAGCAGUGGGGAAUUUUGGACAAUGGGCGCAAGCCUGAUCCAGCCAUGCCGCGUGUCUGAAGAAGGCCUUCGGGUUGUAAAGGACUUUUGUCAGGGAGGAAAUCCUUAGCGCUAAUACCGUUGAGGGAUGACAGUACCUGAAGAAUAAGCACCGGCUAACUACGUGCCAGCCGCCGCAGUAA
RNAcentral lists this ribosomal RNA (500 nucleotides) under uncultured bacterium. RNAcentral's name for it is "partial 16S ribosomal RNA". It matches the Rfam family "Bacterial small subunit ribosomal RNA", at positions 30 to 523 of the family's 1533-position model. The record is from RNAcentral.